RNAcentral lists this ribosomal RNA (460 nucleotides) under uncultured bacterium. RNAcentral's name for it is "partial 16S ribosomal RNA". It matches the Rfam family "Bacterial small subunit ribosomal RNA", at positions 338 to 795 of the family's 1533-position model. The record is from RNAcentral.
CCUACGGGGGGCAGCAGUGAGGAAUAUUGGUCAAUGGACGGAAGUCUGAACCAGCCAUGCCGCGUGCAGGAAGACGGCUCUAUGAGUUGUAUACUGCUUUUGUACAAGGGUAAACCUGAAUACGUGUAUUCAGCUGAAAGUACUGUACGAAUAAGGAUCGGCUAACUCCGUGCCAGCAGCCGCGGUAAUACGGAGGAUCCAAGCGUUAUCCGGAUUUAUUGGGUUUAAAGGGUGCGUAGGCGGAUUGAUAAGUUAGAGGUGGAAUGUCCGAGCUUAACUCGGGAACUGCCUCUAAUACUGUUGAUCUAGAGAGUAGAUGCGGUAGGCGGAAUGUAUGGUGUAGCGGUGAAAUGCUUAGAGAUCAUACAGAACACCGAUUGCGAAGGCAGCUUACCAAUCUAUAUCUGACGUUGAGGCACGAAAGCGUGGGGAGCAAACAGGAUUAGAUACCCUAGUAGUC